UUACUCUUCGGAGUGAGAGCGUACACAGGUGCUGCGUGGCUGUCGUCAGCUCGUGUCGUGAGAUGUUGAGUUAAGUCCCGCAACGAGCGCAACCCUCGCAUUCAGUUGCCAUCGGUAAGGCCGGGCACUCUGGAUGGACUGCCGGCGACAAGCCGGAGGAAGUGGGGACGACGUCAAGUCAUCAUGGCCCUUAUGUCCAGGGCGACACACGUGCUACAAUGGCCGGCACAACGGGAAGCGAAGGGGCGACCCUGAGCGGAUCCCACAAAAGCCGGUCUCAGUUCGGAUUGCAGUCUGCAACUCGACUGCAUGAAGUUGGAAUCGCUAGUAAUCGUGGAUCAGCCAAGCCGCGGUGAAUACGUUCCCGGGCCUU
RNAcentral lists this ribosomal RNA (373 nucleotides) under uncultured Thermovirga sp. RNAcentral's name for it is "bacterial SSU rRNA". It matches the Rfam family "Bacterial small subunit ribosomal RNA", at positions 1012 to 1382 of the family's 1533-position model. The record is from RNAcentral. Lineage: Bacteria; Thermotogati; Synergistota; Synergistia; Synergistales; Thermovirgaceae.